Molecule: long non-coding RNA, 1649 nt
Organism: Ostrea edulis (European flat oyster)
Lineage: Eukaryota; Metazoa; Mollusca; Bivalvia; Ostreida; Ostreidae
Exons: 2
Source: RefSeq, a predicted model, not a curated record
UAAAGCAUGUCUUGUGUUGUGGUCGAGUUGUAGAAAUUAUCCAGAUUAUCAUUAACUGAUAUGUUUGCUAAUGAGGAUAUUUUUAAUGAUUAUUUUAUUCCUUAUUAUUAGCUAAACACUUCAAGCGUAUCAAUAUGUCUAUUUCCUUUUGAAAGGAAUAUUACAGAUAUGGUUAUCUCGCUUGUAUUAUGGAAAUAUAGGAAAACUGAAAACAUGCGUUAAUUUCCAAGCCGUUAAAUCGAUCGUGCAAUAAUUUCGUUAACAUUGUUGUAUACCCCCUAUAACAUAAACAAACAUGGCUAUGUCACAGUUCCAAGAUCGAAAAAUAUAUUUCAAUGAAACAGUCAACUGUGUAUGACUGAGAACUUCAUUUUGAAAUUAGAUAUAUCCAUAUUUGUACAAAGUAUGUUUUGCAUGACACACCGUGUCAGUAGAUGCCAAAGAGUAGGACGGAUAUACAAAUAAUAUUUCCCUGUCAAUGUAAAGAAACAAAUUGGGCGAACGAAAGUAUUUACAAAAUUUCCUCGAAAAUAUAUGAGGGAGAAUUGUGCUUAGUAACACAUUGUGCAAUCGAUCUCUUAUAAGAACGUUGCCAUCUUAGUUGUUUUAUAAACUCUCUGACAUGUAGUUCCGUUGUUUACGCUUGCCAUUCUAUUCAACUCUGCUACGUAUUCGUAUUUAUGAAAUAUCUUCAUACUGCAAUAAUACUACUUGCAUCCACAAUUCCAUGUAAGCAAUAUCUCUUACUGUAGAUGGAUUCCACGAUUAAUUUAACUUCAUUUGUAUUUAAACAAUCUAACAGUUACAUGUUAAUGUUCCGAAAUUUUAAUUUCGACAAUUAAAAGCAUUAGAUAUUUAAUACAAAUGGCUAAACUGUUUUCAUAGGACACUUAUUUUAUAAUAGCUUAUGGUGUUUACAGAUCACACCUUGGGGGUGGGCUAUAACAUAUACUCUUGUUGUAACUAUCUGUUCUCUACUUUUACUUAUUCUCUAGAAACAUUUACAUUUGCAGUCUGUGCACGGUCUCAGCAGACAUCAACUAAUGGAUCUUUUACUGCGAUUCUUGGUUGUGAUGACAACACGGAUACCUUCUCUCUUAGCAAUGAUGGGGUGAAUCAGUCCUGGUCUCUUGAGUUGGACGAUAUAUUUACAAUCGAUUGGAUCUUUAUUUCCAUUGGUGCUGGUACCUACAUUAUUUACGGAGAACUAACUGGGAGUCUGCCUGAGAAUGUACGGAUAUCAAACAAUCCGAUGAAAUGAAUCCUACAUCGUUUCAGCAUCUGAUUACAUGUGAUUAUUCCAAUGCUGUCUACAGGAAAGGAAAUAGAAUUAGCAUAACUCAAACAGGAAAUGGACCGAUCAAAGUGUUUGCAUUAAAACCAAUAGGUAUACAACACACUUUCCAUACUUACAAUGUACUUACACAGCUAAUUAACAUGUAAUACAAAUUACAGACCUUUAUUUCAUAACCUCUACGUCGUGAAAUUUACACUAAUUCUAGAGUUAAACAAACUAUGAAACAUUUUCCCUCCGUAUAUCGAAAGGUUUGUCUUUUGGUUGAGGUGUGUUAUUAUAUUUGUUUUAAGAUUUAGUGUAGGAAUAUAGAUCAUCAAAUAGAAUGUCAUUAAAGUUCAUUAAAUAUGAUAAA